This is a long non-coding RNA of Gadus chalcogrammus (walleye pollock), 1452 nucleotides long. RefSeq lists it as uncharacterized. NCBI's taxonomy places the organism in Eukaryota, Metazoa, Chordata, Actinopteri, Gadiformes, Gadidae. The record is from RefSeq and is a predicted model, not a curated record. The transcript is spliced from 3 exons.
GUGUUUUGGUUUGUGUACAACCUGCGCGUGAUUCCCGGCGCAUGACAUACGUCACAACCAAACGUUAGCGAUUGGUUAUGGCAGAUCCAGAGUGGCACUGGGCAGAUCCAAUCAUUUUAAACUUCAACAGACACCCGCCUUCAAGUGAGUUAACGUUUGUCAAUUGAUUAGGUCCAGACUCUCUGUACAAAUGAAAUUAAAUGAAGUGAAGUACGAGAGUCUGGUAGAACCAGGCUAGGUCUGGACCUGCUGUAUGUAAUUUGGUUUUCUGGGGCCGCCACAGCGGCGCCCAAUCAGCGAACAGAGGGCGUGUCUGAGAACAAUGACGAUAAAGUCGUGCGCCAGUUUGAGUUGUUGUUGUAGGUCGGUAGUCAGAAGGCAAUGGAGAACGAUGUGAGCGAAGCUAUUCGGUCUGUUGUGGCAACGCUGCCGAAUAUUGAGAAGUUAAAGCCGGAGCAAGAACAAGCUUUGUUGAGUUUUGUUGGUGGCCAUGAUGUGGUGGCGCUUCUCCCCACGGGGUUCAGGAAAAGUUUGAUUUUCCAGCUGGCUCCGUUAUUGGUGAAGGAGUUGGGUAAGGCGAAUGCUGGCGAUGCUAAGCCGAUAGUUAUUGUAGUCUCCCCUCUCGUUGCACUAAUGGAGGACCAAGUGAAGGAGGCAGAACAGUUGGGAGUUCGUGCUGGGCAGCUCGGCGUGCAUGAUGACCGUGACAUUUUGGAUGGAAGCUUGAGUCUGGUGUUCGGCAGCCCCGAGUCCUGGCUGCUGAACAACAAAUGGUGACGAAUGCUAGCCUCAACCAUAUACCAGGACAACCUCAUUGGUAUCGUCGUAGAUGAGGUCCACGUUACGUACAAAUGGGGCGAGGCUUCCAAAGGCGAGUCGGCAUUCCGAGAGAGUUUUGCCAAGCUCGGAGAGCUAAGAUCUAUAGCCAAGGAGGGCUGACACACCUGCAGCAAAUUUGAGAUCCCCACGCCCAAUUACCAGCCUGCUGCAUAAAGCCAGCAAGUCAGUUGCUUGAGGAGAACAGACCCGGCAACACCUUUGUGCGAGUUUGUCCCACAGUGCGAGUUGUUAAAUAGCCUUUUCUUUCUGUAAUCUUUGAUCUAGGCCUGGGGAUGGCCGGCGGUCCUACUUUUCCGUUUAGUUCUUAGUUUAUGAUUUGGUUUGGUCAGGCAGGGAGGGGGGCCAGCCUCGACGUCCCUAUAGGGGGUGGCCUGGUCCCCCCUCCAUUUUGCUGAGUUUGUCCGGCAUCCUCAGGUCCCUUUUGGUUUGCAGUCUUCUUUAUUUGGUAAAGUAUUCAUACUGCAUUUCAGCUAUGGUUUCAUUUGGUUAAUAAAACCCGUUAAAACAUCUUAUUUCAUGGUGUCCUUCCUUUAUGUUGGGGUCUCCAAUUCGAGCCACUGGGUAUCUUAUUCAGUUAUGUGGAGGCCGUAACAUAAUGGGGGCUCGUCCGAA